GAGAGGUGCUGCAUGGCUGUCGUCAGCUCGUGUUGUGAAAUGUUGGGUUAAGUCUCGCAACGAGCGCAACCCCUAUCGUCUGUUGCCAGCAUUAAGUUGGGCACUCUGACGAGACUGCCUGGGUUAACCAGGAGGAAGGUGGGGAUGACGUCAAGUCCUCAUGGCCCUUAUGUCUAGGGCUACACACGUGGUACAAUGGCGCGUACAGAGGGAAGCGAACUCGCAAGGGGGAGCAAAUCUCAAAAAGCGCGCCUCAGUUCGGAUUGAAGUCUGCAACUCGACUUCAUGAAGUUGGAAUCGCUAGUA
This 306-nucleotide ribosomal RNA is filed under the name uncultured Peredibacter sp. Its description in RNAcentral is "bacterial SSU rRNA". It matches the Rfam family "Bacterial small subunit ribosomal RNA", at positions 1033 to 1340 of the family's 1533-position model. Lineage: Bacteria; Pseudomonadati; Bdellovibrionota; Bacteriovoracia; Bacteriovoracales; Bacteriovoracaceae. The record is from RNAcentral.